This 484-nucleotide ribosomal RNA is filed under the name uncultured bacterium. Its description in RNAcentral is "partial 16S ribosomal RNA". It matches the Rfam family "Bacterial small subunit ribosomal RNA", at positions 30 to 507 of the family's 1533-position model. The record is from RNAcentral.
AUUGAACGCUGGCGGCAGGCCUAACACAUGCAAGUCGAGCGGAUGAAGGGAGCUUGCUCCUGGAUUCAGCGGCGGACGGGUGAGUAAUGCCUAGGAAUCUGCCUGGUAGUGGGGGAUAACGUCCGGAAACGGGCGCUAAUACCGCAUACGUCCUGAGGGAGAAAGUGGGGGAUCUUCGGACCUCACGCUAUCAGAUGAGCCUAGGUCGGAUUAGCUAGUUGGUGGGGUAAAGGCCUACCAAGGCGACGAUCCGUAACUGGUCUGAGAGGAUGAUCAGUCACACGGGAACUGAAACACGGUCCAGACUCCUACGGGAGGCAGCAGUGGGGAAUAUUGGACAAUGGGCGAAAGCCUGAUCCAGCCAUGCCGCGUGUGUGAAGAAGGUCUUCGGAUUGUAAAGCACUUUAAGUUGGGAGGAAGGGCAGUAAGUUAAUACCUUGCUGUUUUGACGUUACCAACAGAAUAAGCACCGGCUAACUUCGUG